ACUCCUACGGGAGGCAGCAGUAGGAAUUUUCCGCAAUGGACGAAAGUCUGACGGAGCAAUGCCGCGUGAGUGAUGAAGGUUUUCGAAUCGUAAAGCUCUGUUGUAAGGGAAGAAUAGCAAGAAUAGGAAUGAUUCUUGUCUGACGGUACCUUACCAGAAAGCCACGGCUAACUACGUGCCAGCAGCCGCGGUAAUACGUAGGUGGCAAGCGUUAUCCGGAAUUAUUGGGCGUAAAGCGCAUGUAGGCGGCUUUUAAGUCUGAUGUGAAAGCCAGUUGGCUCAACCACUGAAUUGCAUUGGAUACUGGAAAGCUAGAAUCUUGGAGAGGUAAGUGGAAUUUCAU
This 343-nucleotide ribosomal RNA is filed under the name uncultured bacterium. Its description in RNAcentral is "bacterial SSU rRNA". It matches the Rfam family "Bacterial small subunit ribosomal RNA", at positions 335 to 672 of the family's 1533-position model. The record is from RNAcentral.